CAGAGGACAGUGGCGAACGGGUGAGUAACACGUAGGGAAUCUGCCCAUGUGCCCGGGACAACAGAUGGAAACGUCUGCUAAAACCGGAUAGGUGGCAAGGAGGCAUCUUCUUGCGAUUAAAGGGGCUACGGCCUUGAACAUGGAUGAUCCUGCGGUGCAUUAGCUAGUUGGUGAGGUAACGGCUCACCAAGGCGAUGAUGCAUAGCCGACCUGAGAGGGUGAACGGCCACAUUGGGACUGAGACACGGCCCAGACUCC
RNAcentral lists this ribosomal RNA (258 nucleotides) under uncultured bacterium. Its description in RNAcentral is "partial 16S ribosomal RNA". It matches the Rfam family "Bacterial small subunit ribosomal RNA", at positions 86 to 339 of the family's 1533-position model. The record is from RNAcentral. RNAcentral also lists the same sequence under 1 other name.